Molecule: ribosomal RNA, 255 nt
Filed under: uncultured bacterium
Lineage: Bacteria
Description: partial 16S ribosomal RNA
Rfam family: Bacterial small subunit ribosomal RNA
Source: RNAcentral
UACGUAGGGUGCAAGCAUUAUCCGGAGUGACUGGGCGUAAAGAGUUGCGUAGGUGGUUUGUUAAGUGAGUAGUGAAAGCUAGCGGCUCAACCGUAUAGAUUAUUAUUCAAACUGGCAAACUCGAGAAUGGUAGAGGUCACUGGAAUUUCUUGUGUAGGAGUGAAAUCCGUAGAUAUAAGAAGGAACACCAAUGGCGUAGGCAGGUGACUGGACCAUUUCUGACACUGAGGCACGAAAGCGUGGGGAGCGAACGGG